RNAcentral lists this long non-coding RNA (1155 nucleotides) under Equus caballus (horse). RNAcentral's name for it is "lncRNA (ENSECAG00000057053.1)". Lineage: Eukaryota; Metazoa; Chordata; Mammalia; Perissodactyla; Equidae. The record is from RNAcentral.
CAAUCUCUUCCCGCAGACCUGCUGCUUACCUGGCUCUUUUCAUGCGCGGAGAUGUCUGUGCGUCAUCGGGCCUGAUUUCCUUCCACGAGGCAGCUCGGACUCAAGCCAAACACGGGACUGAUGUCGAACGGAUGGGGUUAGACUCGAAGGUGUUUUGGACAUUAACAACAUCCCCAGGAGCAACAAAAUAAAUAAAGUGGUAAUGCAUUAUAACUCCAAAUGAAAAAAUAAAUAUCCACGAAUCCACACUGAUAUAAAUGAUUGAAUAAAUUAACAAGUGGGAGAGAAGAGACAAGACUCCUGUACAGAAGAACUCUGAAUACUUUACGGAGAUGCUCCCCCCUCAAGGAGGGGGAGCGUCACUCCUCACUCUGCAGGUGUGGGCCGCACACAGUGACUCCCUUCCGAAGCUUACAGACUGGAAAGGAAGGUGGGAGAGUAUAGACAGUGGAGAAACCUGACGAACACCACCUCAGCCAGGUGACCGAGGUCAACAUCGACCGUCAUAAAUCACGUAGAUAGUGUGAACUCUUGGUGAUGACAAUGGCACUCUCCAUCUGUGGUCGUCCUCCCAAUGAACUAUAACCCCACUCUAAACAUGAGAAAGGUAUCAGCCAAAUUCCAAUAGUGGGUCAUUCUACACAAUAUGCAAGCAGCAAUCCUCGGAACUGUCAAGGUCAUCAAAAACAAGGAAAGUCUGAAAAAGCGUCACAGCGAAGAGGAGCCUAAGGAGACAGGACAACUAGAUGCAGUGUGGUGUCUGGGAUGGGACCCUGCAACAAGAAGGGACAUUAGGAUCGGGCCACAACACAUUGGAAGGAGAAACAGCUGGUCCCUCACUCAGGCGGUCCAGGAAGCACUACUACAGAGCACUGAGGAUUAGUACCCGUAAAGAUCGGGAUGGAGAUAAAUACGAAAAUGGAGCCCAGAAAAGAAAAAGCGAAGCUGAGAAGAUGAAAGAAAUGGGAAGUCUCCAAAACCGCAGUUUGCAUAAAUUUUAUUUAUUUAUUUAUUUAUUGAGGAAGAUUAGCCCUGAGCUAACACCUGCUGCCAACCCUCCUCUUUUUGCUGAGGAAGACUGGCCCUGAGCUAACAUCCAUGCCCAUCUUCCUCUACUUUAUAUGUGGGACGCCUACCACAGCAUGGAUUGCCAAG